UGGGGAAUUUUGGACAAUGGGCGAAAGCCUGAUCCAGCAAUGCCGCGUGUGUGAAGAAGGCCUUCGGGUUGUAAAGCACUUUUGUCCGGAAAGAAAUCCUUGGCUCUAAUACAGUCGGGGGAUGACGGUACCGGAAGAAUAAGCACCGGCUAACUACGUGCCAGCAGCCGCGGUAAUACGUAGGGUGCAAGCGUUAAUCGGAAUUACUGGGCGUAAAGCGUGCGCAGGCGGUUUGCUAAGACCGAUGUGAAAUCCCCGGGCUCAACCUGGGAACUGCAUUGGUGACUGGCAGGCUAGAGUAUGGCAGAGGGGGGUAGAAUUCCACGUGUAGCAGUGAAAUGCGUAGAGAUGUGGAGGAAUACCGAUGGCGAAGGCAGCCCCCUGGGCCAAUACUGACGCUCAUGCACGAAAGCGUGGGGAGCAAACAGGAUUAGAUACCCUGGUAGUCCACGCCCUAAACGAUGUCAACUAGUUGUUGGGGAUUCAUUUCCUUAGUAACGUAGCUAACGCGUGAAGUUGACCGCCUGGGGAGUACGGUCGCAAGAUUAAAACCCAAAGGAAUUGACGGGGUCAUGCUGUUUCCU
RNAcentral lists this ribosomal RNA (584 nucleotides) under uncultured bacterium. RNAcentral describes it as "partial 16S ribosomal RNA". It matches the Rfam family "Bacterial small subunit ribosomal RNA", at positions 355 to 932 of the family's 1533-position model. The record is from RNAcentral.